This 468-nucleotide ribosomal RNA is filed under the name uncultured bacterium. Its description in RNAcentral is "partial 16S ribosomal RNA". It matches the Rfam family "Bacterial small subunit ribosomal RNA", at positions 28 to 507 of the family's 1533-position model. The record is from RNAcentral.
GAUGAACGCUGGCGGCGUGCCUAACACAUGCAAGUCGAACGGAAAGGCCCUGCUUUUGUGGGGUGCUCGAGUGGCGAACGGGUGAGUAACACGUGAGUAAACUGCCCUUGACUUUGGGAUAACUUCAGGAAACUGGGGCUAAUACCGGAUAGGAGCUCCUGCUGCAUGGUGGGGGUUGGAAAGUUUCGGCGGUUGGGGAUGGACUUGCGGCUUAUCAGCUUGUUGGUGGGGUAGUGGCUUACCAAGCCUUCGGCGGGUAGCCUGCCUGGGAGGGUGACCGGCGACAUUGGGACUGAGGUACGGCCCAGACUCCUACGGGAGGCAGCAGUGGGGAAGAUUGCACAAUGGGCGGAAGCCUGAUGCAGCAACGCCGCGUGCGGGAUGACGGCCUUCGGGUUGUAAACCGCUUUCGCCUGUGACGAAGCGUGAGUGACGGUAAUGGGUAAAGAAGCACCGGCUAACUACGUG